GGCUCCCAAAGGCACGUGU
Molecule: small nuclear RNA, 19 nt
Filed under: Arabidopsis thaliana (thale cress)
Lineage: Eukaryota; Viridiplantae; Streptophyta; Magnoliopsida; Brassicales; Brassicaceae
Description: snRNA_10239
Source: RNAcentral